GACAAACGCUGGCGGCGUGCCUAAUACAUGCAAGUCGAACGACGAAAGCCUUCGGGCAAGUAAGAGUGGCGCACGGGCGAGGAACACGUAGAUAAUCUGCCCUUCAGUGGGGAAUAACUCUCCGAAAGGAGUGCUAAUACCGCAUAAGACCACAAGCUCUGCGGAGCAAGGGGUUAAAGGAUUUAUUCGCUGAAGGAUGAGUAUGCGUCCGAUUAGCUAGUUGGUGAGGUAAUGGCUUACCAAGGCAAUGAUCGGUAGACGGUCUGAGAGGAUGAUCAUCCGCACUGGAACGGGGACACGGUCCAGACUCCUACGGGAGGCAGCAGUAGGGAAUAUUGCACAAUGGGGGAAACCCUGAUGCAGCAACGCCGCGUGAGUGAUGAAGGCUCUAGGGUCGUAAAGCUCUGUCGUAUGGGAAGAAAAAAAUGACGGUACCAUACAAGAAAGGACCGGCCAACUUCGUGCCAGCAGCCGCCGUAA
This 480-nucleotide ribosomal RNA is filed under the name uncultured bacterium. Its description in RNAcentral is "partial 16S ribosomal RNA". It matches the Rfam family "Bacterial small subunit ribosomal RNA", at positions 28 to 523 of the family's 1533-position model. The record is from RNAcentral.